UCGCGGCUUAUCACCGGCAGUCCCCUUAGAGUGCCCAACUGAAUGAUGGCAACUAAGGGCGAGGGUUGCGCUCGUUGCGGGACUUAACCCAACAUCUCACGACACGAGCUGACGACAGCCAUGCAGCACCUGUGCAGGAUCUCCGAAGAGGGGCUCUCGUUUCUGAGAGCUUGCUCCUGCAUGUCAAGCCUAGGUAAGGUGGGGAUGACGUUUCCUCAUGCGUU
Molecule: unclassified non-coding RNA, 224 nt
Filed under: uncultured bacterium
Lineage: Bacteria
Description: contains 16S-23S intergenic spacer region
Source: RNAcentral